UGAAUACGAGACGCUACGGCGUCGAAGCAGUCUAUGUCAUACUUCCAAGAAAAGCUUGCACUGUCAUAAACAAAUAAUGCCUGUACCAUAACCGACACAGGUGGGUAGGUAGAGUAUACUAAGGGGCGCGAGAUAACUCUCUCUAAGGAACUCGGCAAAAUGACUCCGUAACUUCGGGAGAAGGAGUGCCUUAUUUAUAAGGUUGCAAUAACAAGAUCCAAGCAACUGUUUAUCAAAAACACAGGUCUCCGCUAAGUCGUAAGACGAUGUAUGGGGGCUGACGCCUGCCCAGUGCCAGAAGGUUAAAGAAGUUGGUUAGCAUUAGCGAAGCUGAUAACUGAAGCCCUGGUGAACGGCGGCCGUAACAAUAACGGUCCUAAGGUAGCGAAAUUCCUUGUCGGGUAAGUUCCGACCCGCACGAAAGGCGUAAUGAUUUGGAUACUGUCUCAGAGAGGGGCUCGGUGAAAUAGACUUGUCUGUGAAGAUGCGGACUACCUGCACCAGGACAGAAAGACCCUAUGAAGCUUUACUGUAACUUGAAAUUGAAAUUGGACUUUGUUUGCGCAGUAUAGGUGGGAGGCAUUGAUAAUAUUCUUGCGGGAAUGUUGGAGCCAUCAGUGAGAUACCACUCUUGUAAUGUUAGAUUUCUAACUUUGGAUCAUUAUCUGGUCAAAGGACAGUUUCAGGCGGGCAGUUUGACUGGGGCGGUCGCCUCCUAAAUGGUAACGGAGGCGCACAAAGGUUUCCUCUGAACGGGUAGAAAUCGUAUCUAGAGUGUAAAGGCAUAAGGAAGCUUGACUGUGAGACCUACAAGUCGAGCAGGGACGAAAGUCGGUCUUAGUGAUCUGACGGUGCUGAGUGGAAAGGCCGUCACUCAACGGAUAAAAGUUACUCUAGGAUAACAGGCUGAUCUCCCCCAAGAGUUCACAUCGACGGGGAGGUUUGGCACCUCGAUGUCGGCUCAUCGCAUCCUGGGGCGGUAGUACGUCCCAAGGGUUGGGCUGUUCGCCCAUGAAAGCGGUACGCGAGCUGGGUUCAGAACGUCGUGAGACAGUUCGGUCCAUAUCCGGUGUAGGCGUUAGAAUAUUGAGAGGAGCCUUCUUUAGUACGAGAGGACCGAGAAGGACAUACCUCUGGUGUACCAGUUAUCGUGCCAACGGUAAACGCUGGGUAGCUAUGUAUGGAGAGGAUAACCGCUGAAAGCAUCUAAGUGGGAAGCCCACCUCAAGAUAAGUAUUCGC
This 1241-nucleotide ribosomal RNA is filed under the name metagenome. Its description in RNAcentral is "bacterial LSU rRNA". It matches the Rfam family "Bacterial large subunit ribosomal RNA", at positions 1564 to 2815 of the family's 2925-position model. The record is from RNAcentral.